AUUGAACGCUGGCGGCAUACCUUACACAUGCAAGUCGAACGGCAGCACGGGAGCAAUCCUGGUGGCGAGUGGCGAACGGGUGAGUAAAGUAUCGGAACGUGCCCAGUCGUGGGGGAUAACGUAGCGAAAGUUACGCUAAUACCGCAUACGAUCUAUGGAUGAAAGCGGGGGAUCGCAAGACCUCGCGCGAUUGGAGCGGCCGAUAUCAGAUUAGGGAGUUGGUGGGGUAAAGGCUCACCAAGCCGACGAUCUGUAGCUGGUCUGAGAGGACGACCAGCCACACUGGGACUGAGACACGGCCCAGACUCCUACGGGAGGCAGCAGUGGGGAAUUUUGGACAAUGGGCGAAGGCCUGAUCCAGCCAUGCCGCGUGCAGGAUGAAGGCCUUCGGGUUGUAAACUGCUUUUGUACGGAACGAAAAGGUUUGGCCUAAUAAGCUGAGCUCAUGACGGUACCGUAAGAAUAAGCACCGGCUAACUACGUGCCAGCCGCCGCCGUAA
This 500-nucleotide ribosomal RNA is filed under the name uncultured bacterium. Its description in RNAcentral is "partial 16S ribosomal RNA". It matches the Rfam family "Bacterial small subunit ribosomal RNA", at positions 30 to 523 of the family's 1533-position model. The record is from RNAcentral.